GUAAUUCAAGUCUUAGAUGCUUUCCUCUGUGCAGUUGGACUUACCUCAUAUUCCGUGCUGGUGAUUAGGAUUGUUCAACCUGAAUUGAAAGCACUUGCAAUCGGCUUCCAUUCAAUGAUUAUGCGAUCGCUAGGAGGUAUUCUAGUUCCAAUAUAUUUUGGGGCUCUGAUUGAUACAACGUGUAUGAAGUGGUCCACCAACAGCUGUGGAGCACGAGGGGCUUGUAGGAUAUAUAAUUCCACAUAUUUGGGAAGAGCCUUCUUCGGCUUGAAGGUUGAUUCCAUGCCUUGGAUAAUAUGAAUACAUGCCUUGGAUAAUAUGAACAGUGCUGCAAUAAACAUGAAAGUGCAGAAUGACUCUUCAACAUAUUUAUUUCAUUUUCUUUGGCCAUAUACCCAGUAGUGGGAUUGCUGGAUCAUAUGAUAGAUCUAUUUUUAAAUUUUUGAGGAGCUUCCAUACUGUUUUUCAUAACCCCUGUACUAAUUUACAUUAACAACUGUGUAUAA
Molecule: long non-coding RNA, 506 nt
Filed under: Homo sapiens (human)
Lineage: Eukaryota; Metazoa; Chordata; Mammalia; Primates; Hominidae
Description: novel transcript
Source: RNAcentral